Long non-coding RNA from Camelus dromedarius (Arabian camel), 5420 nucleotides. RefSeq lists it as uncharacterized. The record is from RefSeq and is a predicted model, not a curated record. Lineage: Eukaryota; Metazoa; Chordata; Mammalia; Artiodactyla; Camelidae. The transcript has 3 exons.
AUUAACAGUUAUUUUCCAAUUCUGUAUUAUAAAAUUAUUUCUGAUAAUGGAAAAUUCUCAAUUUCUUUAAAUUAAUUAAAACAUUGAAAGUCUACAGUGUAUAAAAGAAAGCACUGGAUUUCUGGAGAGGUGAGGCAGAAUACGAAGGUAAACAGGAAUCAUUAUUCCUUUUCUCAGAGGUAUGUAAUCUACAGGGGAAGCAUGCAGCACCUGAAAGGGGAGGAGAGGUUGGUGGGCCAUGCAGGGUUGAAGGAGGAGCAUAGGAACAUGGGUCUGGGAAAGUUUGGCUAGCUUUACAGUGCUCAAUUGAAAUACUACUUUGCAAUAUUUUCUCAACACCAGGGUUCAAGUUUGUUAGUCCUACUGAGACAUCAGGUCAGAAGAAAAGAACAAAAGUGAGAAGGCAUUUAUGGCUUUGCAUUCUCAGAAAGUCAUCCUGCUGGUUCAGCUGUGUAUGAUUGAGCAUAUUAUCAUUGAUGAAGAAUUUUUAUUUAUUUUUGAUCAAAGACUUCACCAUGUUUUCCUGAACUUUUCAAUCUCCUGGUUGCAGAGUUUUAACGUGAGCUCUCCUCGGGCCUGGGAGAAAUUCUGAGAAUGACCCCUGAGAAUGAGCUCAGUGGUGAGAAGUCCAAGGACAGGAUGAGGUCGACAUUGCAAGUGUUUUUGGAAUAAGAAUCAACACACUUAAAGACUGGGAUUUGGAAGUGAGAAGGAGUACAUGGAAGUGAUUCAGGAAGACAAGGAAAUGAGACACAAGUGGCAACAUUUGUCAAAGUUCUAUGCAUUUGUUCCUUUGGAUUCAAGUGAAACAUCUGGAGUCAAUUCUUAACCCAAUGUUGGUUUGUUCUCACCAACCUCUUUGCCCUGCUAUUGGAAAAUAUAUUACAUUUCUGUAUGUUAUAUGCCCACAAAUACAAUUAAAUGUAUACUGCUUUAUGAUUUUUAAACAAGAUAAGAAAGGAUAAGAAAUAGGCAAUUAUACUCCUUUAUAAUUGCAUAAUUACCUUUAUCAGUGUUCUUUGUUUUGUGUGUGUGCGUAUUCAAAUUACUGUCUUGGGUCACUUGCUUUAAGCCUGAAGAACUAACUUUAGUAUGUCUUGUAAGGUAGGUCUACUGGCAGCAGAUUCCUUCAGAUUUUGUUUUCCAAAUGUCUUUUUAUUUCAUCUUCAUUUUUAAAUGAUAAUUUUGCUGGAUAUAUGAUUCUUGAUUAAGAACUUUUAAAAUUUGAGGGCAGAGAAUAGGUUAUCCUAUUGCCUUCAGCCCUCUAAUGUUUCUGAUGAUAAGUCAACUGUUAAUCUUAUACGAGUUUCCUUAAGCAAGAUGUCAUUUUCCUCUUGCUGCCUUCAAGAUUUUCUUUGGCAUUUUUACUAUGUGUCUAUUCAUGGGUCUUUUUGAGUUUAUCCUACUUGCAGUUUGUUGAACUUCCUGGAUAUGUAGAUUUAAAUAUUUUAGGAAAUGGGAAUUUUUUAGCCAAUAAUUUUUCAAAUAUUUUUCUGCUCCUUUCCUUCUCUGUUCUUCUGGUGCUGCCUUUAAAUGUCUGUUGGUAUACAUUAGUGUCCCACAUUUCUCUGAGACUUUGCUCAUUUUUUCUUCAUUCUUUUUUCACUCUGUUCUUUUAUUGCAUAAUUUCUAUUGAUCUAUUCUUAAGUACUUUUACUUUCUGCCCAUUUAAGUGUAUUAUUGAUUCCAUCUAGUGAAUUUUUAAAUUUCAGUUAUUGCUCCUUUCAGUUCCAAAAUUCCCAUUUGGUUAUUUUUAAUAAUUUCUGUCUCUUUAUUAAUGUUCUCUAUGUGAUGUGACACUGUCAUCAUGCUUUACUUCUAAAAUCAUGGUUUUCUUUGUUUCUUUGAACAUAUUUAUAAUGUCUUCUUUUCUCACAUCUGGUCUCUCCUGCAGGUGGCUUUAUUUCCUGCUAUUCUUCUGGUAUCUAGGCCAUAAUUUCCUGCUUAUUUUGCAUGUCUCAUAUUUUUUGGAAAAUGAACAUUUUAGAUAUUGCAGCAACGUUGGGUACUGGCUUCAUCUCUCCCCUCUUUCAGUGCUUGUCAUUGUUGUUAGCUUGUUUACUUGUUUAAAGACUAACUGGAUUAUUUUAGUGUUGUCCAUUCCCUUCUCUUCCUCCUCUAUCCCCUAAACAGACACAGGGUAAAGCCUCUGAUGUUUUUCCUCAGGGAUUCAGCCUUGGACAUGCCCAGCCACUUUGGGAUAACAAGGUUUUAGCAGGACAUAGGCAGUGUUUGUCUAGUUACCUGACCACACUAACCUAUGAAACUCCACUAACUGCUGGUUAAAAGCUCUAUUGUUCAUAACAAUGCCCUGGAGAUUAAAUUAUUUACACCCUAAUCCAGUCAAAUUCAGGCUGCUAUGAAGGGACAGUUCCUGAUGGUCAAAGUUUGAAAUUUAUUCAGACUCUAGUUCUUGCAGCUGGUUUCUUAUUUUUCUCCAGCAACUAGUUGGCUUAUCAUUUAGCCUGUAUCUUCAAGGAUUUUAUCAGUCUCCUCCCCAUUGCCUCUCACCAACACUUCUACUGAUUUUGAAAGCACAAUUGAAUUUGAACUUCAUAUGCUGUUGCAAAUAAAGUUGGCUCCUUUGGGGAGAUAAUUUGAACUCUCUGUUCUAUGGUCUGCCUUUCCUCCCAGGGAAAAUCUCUGAGCCACAACUCUGGUGCUGGAGUAAGGAACAAUAGGUCAAUUCUAAGUGACAGCCCAGUUUGAAGAAGUAAGUGCUCAGUGGAUAUAUGGGCAAGAGCCCCAGGUGUCCUUGGCUUGUCUCCCUUGGCACAAGCCCCUGUCCUAUGAGCUGAGUCAAUAGCAAUUGGGAUCUCAAUGUCCUACCAUGCCCAAGGUAGAACCUUUGUCUCAUGAGAGGAAACGUGGUGGAAGAAUGGGGCCCCCACCUGUUGGCUGCAGUAGUACAGAACUUUGCCUCAGCAACAAGUAUCUAGGGGCAGUAUGAGAAAUGCUAAUGUCAUGUCCUUCCCAGGAAGACAACCCUCCAACCAGGACCUGGGGGGAGUCAAAAACUUGUGUUCUUGGUUGUACAAGUCUGGGUGGAGUUCCCAGCUCAAUGAGUGGAGAGGGGAAAUGUGCGGAUCUUCAAAUACUAAAGACUCAUUAUUUUAUGGAGCUUUAGUAAAUAUUCUUGAGUAAAUGUGUCCUCAUUUGCUGUAUAUCUGUAGCGGCAUUUCCAUUUGUGUAUGCUCAUAAGGCCAACUAUUUUUAAAUGUGUUUUAAAAAUAGUUUUCAUCAGUUUUUUUGAGGAGUGAUACUGAGUUGCACACCAUCGUGCCAGAAGUGGAGCCAGGAAGGGGAAACUGAUACAGUAUAGAUUAGCAUUCUCUUUAACUGAAGGCUUGCUGUAUCUUUGGUUGCUAGUGGAAGGCCUAAGAUAUAUUUGUAGUAUUAAAAAUAAAAAUUAAAAAAUAAUUUUCUAAUGUUAGUAUGUUAGAAGCAAAGCCUAAGAUGGCAAUUCCUGUAGAUGAUUUGUUGCUUGAAUCCUCUGAGAAGAAAUCUUUAGAGAAGUGGAGACAUAGGAGGAUGCAAGUUCCCAGGCAUUUCUCAAGGGAGAUCAUGUAAGCAUUUCUAGAAGCCAGCACUCAAAGCAUCUUGGGAUGGAUACUCUGCUGUAAAGAGACUAAGAGACUUCAUUAUCAACUAUCAAAAUUAACCUCAUAAAAAUAAUCAUAUUAAAGAGUAUGUAGAGUAAAGAAACUCAGUGUAGAGUUUACUAAUAGCUGCUCCAAGAACCCAAAUCAACCACAUAAACAAAAUUGUAGCAACAGUAAUAAAAACAAUAUAACAGCCACUCUUAUUGGACACUUUCUACCUUUAAGGAAGUACACUUACUAUCUCUAAUCCUCAUGAUCACACAGUAAAUUAGAUAUUAUUCAUACAUUUAUGCAAGUGAAGAGAUUAGACUUAACAUAUUCUAGGUCACUUAGCUUGGUUCUAGAGCUUAGUCUCAGAUGCAAGCUCUCUGACUCCAAGGCCUGUCCUCUGUCCAUUACUUACACAAAACUGUCCAAAAAGGGGUGAAGAAAUGAGAAAAGAAAGAAAAACAAAGGGUAAAAAUAGAUAAGAGAAUAAAGUGGUAAGGAAAAAUGUAUGAAAGUAUAGUCAUGCAUGGGAGUGCCAGGGCAGGAUCAACAGGUUCCCCUGUAGCUCUUCAUUAGCACAAAUACCCUACAAUUUGGUCUAAGCCUUCUGAGGCGAGCUUCAUCAAGGCUCAACAAUGCUGAACCCACAAAUCCUUUCAAUGUAGCCCUAUUUCUACCUUGGGUUUUUGCUGAGAAGUCUGAGGAAAAAUUCCCUUAAACUUUCCAGAAGCCCAAUUGUUUGAGAGCAUCUAUGAUACAUACUGUAUCUCCUCAGAGAGUCUUUUUCUGAUUAUGUCAUACUCCAAGGAUGCAACCAUAAUGAUUCUGAGGUUUAAGGAAAAGAAUCUUCAGUCAUGUCCUUCAUUUCAUAUUUGACCACUCCAUCUUUUUUCUUUUCUUUUCUGGCAACACCCUGGAUUUGUUCUUUGCUUGGAAACCAUUUAUGAAUUUAAUUUUAGGAUCAUUUCCCUUCCUGGGAACUGCUGCUUUGUGUCUUCCUACUCCCCUUCCCAAAAUUGAGUUUAUGGUCUCCAUAAGAUUAUAUAUCAUGACAAAAGUAUCUUACAAGUCUCCUUCAACUUUCACUGCAUUUUGCAAAUUUUGAUGAGUUGUAUUUUUAUUUUUAUUUCAUUGAAUACAUUUUAAAAUCCCUCUUGAGACUUAUUUGACCUAUGUAUAACGUAGAAGUGUGUUGUUUACUAUCCAGGUAUUUUAGGACUUUCCAGCUAUCUUUCCAUUGUUGAUUUCUAGUUUAAUUUCACUCUAGUCUGAGACAUACAUUAUAACAUUUCUGUUCCUUUCAAUUUUUAAGGUGUGUUUAAUGAUACAUAUUGAGGUCUAUCUUGGUGAAUGUUUUAUGUUAGCUUGAGGAAAAUAUGUAUUCUGAUGUUUUUGGUAUUCUAUAAAUGUUGAUUACAUCCUGUAGAUUCCAAAUAGAAAAAUCAAUCAAUAUAAUAUACCACAUUAAGAGAGCAAAGAAAAAAAAUGGUCAUCCAAUUGAUUCACAAAAAUCCUUUGAUCAAAUUUAAUAAUUUUUCUGUUAAAAAAAUACUAAAAAAUUAGGAAUAGAAGAAAACUUCCUCAACAUGAUAAAAACCAUGCAUGAAAAAUCCACAGCUACAUCCUACUCAAUGAUGAAAGACUGAAAUCUUCUCCCCUAAGAUAACAAAAAAGACAGUAAUGCCCAUUUUUCCCUCCUCUAUUUAACAUAGUAUUAGAGGUACUAGCCAGUGUAAUAAAACAAGGGAAAGAAAUAAAGAGAUUUAAAAUUGGAAAUGAAGAAAUAAAUUCUCUCAACACACGACAAAGAUAUUAAAUAUAGAAAUAUCA